CUAAAGACUCUCGGCAACGGAUAUCUCGGCUCUUGCAUCGAUGAAGAACGUAGCGAAAUGCGAUACUUGGUGUGAAUUGCAGAAUCCCGUGAACCAUCGAGUCUUUGAACGCAAGUUGCGCCCGAAGCCAUUAGGCCGAGGGCACGCCUGCCUGGGUGUUGCAC
This 164-nucleotide ribosomal RNA is filed under the name Lupinus luteus (yellow lupine). RNAcentral's name for it is "5.8S ribosomal RNA". It matches the Rfam family "5.8S ribosomal RNA". Rfam says of the family: 5.8S ribosomal RNA (5.8S rRNA) is a component of the large subunit of the eukaryotic ribosome. It is transcribed by RNA polymerase I as part of the 45S precursor that also contains 18S and 28S rRNA. Lineage: Eukaryota; Viridiplantae; Streptophyta; Magnoliopsida; Fabales; Fabaceae. The record is from RNAcentral.